This 253-nucleotide ribosomal RNA is filed under the name uncultured bacterium. RNAcentral's name for it is "partial 16S ribosomal RNA". It matches the Rfam family "Bacterial small subunit ribosomal RNA", at positions 524 to 776 of the family's 1533-position model. The record is from RNAcentral.
UACGAAGGGGGCUAGCGUUACUCGGAAUUAUUGGGCGUAAAGCGUGCGCAGGCGGCUACGUAAGUUGGAAGUGAAAUCCUUAAGCUUAACUUAAGAACUGCUUUCAAAACUACGUAGCUUGAGUGCCAGAGGGGAUAGUGGAAUUCCUAGUGUAGAGGUGAAAUUCGUAGAUAUUAGGAGGAACACCGGUGGCGAAAGCGACUAUCUGGCUGGAAACUGACGCUGUUGCACGAAAGCGUGGGGAGCAAACAGG